GUGAAAAUCAAACAGUUCUGUGUUUUCAUGUCUGUGGUCUGUGGUUUAAUACAGAUGAUUCAGAUUUCCUCUCCACUUGCUCGAAAUAUUUUGCGUAACUAUAGAAAUAUCGUGGGAGUGGAAGGGAACUCCUUCUGAAUCUGAUUCAGGGGGUUCCCUCAUUUCAGAACACUUCUCCUCAGGGGCGUUUAUGUAAUCACCACAUCCCAAGUUCUUUUUCCUUCCAAACAUGUGAAGUGAAUUACAGGACUACAGCGCACACUGCACAGAAUCUCCUUACAGAACCAAACAGAACCAAACAGAACCAAACAGAACCAAACAGAGCUAAACAGAGCUAAACAGAGCUAAACAGAACCAAACAGAACCAAACAGAGCUAAACAGAGCUAAACAGAGCUAAACAGAGCUAAACAGAGUUAAACAGAACCAAACAGAACCAAACAGAGCUAAACAGAGCUAAACAGAGCUAAACAGAACCAAACAGAGUUAAACAGAGCUAAACAGAGCUAAACAGAGCUAAACAGAGCUAAACAGAGCUAAACAGAACCAAACAGAACCAAACAGAACCAAACAGAGCUAAACAGAGCUAAACAGAGCUAAAACAGAACCAAACAGAGUUAAACAGAGCUAAACAGAGCUAAACAGAGCUAAACAGAGCUAAACAGAGCUAAACAGAAGCUAACAGAGCUAAACAGAACCAAACAGAACCAAACAGAGCUAAACAGAGCUAAACAGAGCUAAACAGAACCAAACAGAGUUAAACAGAGCUAAACAGAGCUAAACAGAACCAAACAGAGUUAAACAGAACCAAACAGAACCAAACAGAACCAAACAGAGUUAAACAGAGUUAAACAGAGUUAAACAGAGCUAAACAGAGCUAAACAGAACCAAACAGAACCAAACAGAACCAACAGAGCUAACAGAGUUAAACAGAGUUAAACAGAACCAAACAGAACCAAACAGAACCAAACAGAAACAAACAGAGCUAAACAGAGUUAAACAGAGUUAAACAGAACCAAACAGAACCAAACAGAACCAAACAGAGCUAAACAGAGUUAAACAGAGUUAAACAGAACCAAACAGAGCUAAACAGAGUUAAACAGAGUUAAACAGAGUUAAACAGAGUUAAACAGAACCAAACAGAACCAAACAGAACCAAACAGAGUUAAACAGAGCCAAACAGAACCAAACAGAACCAAACAGAGUUAAACAGAGUUAAACAGAGUUAAACAGAGUUAAACAGAACCAAACAGAACCAAACAGAACCAAACAGAGUUAAGCAGAGCUAACAGGAACUAACAGGAACAUGACCUUGCUGUAUAUUUACAGUUUAGUGAUCAGUGUGAGGUGAAACGUUUCUACACGUCUACAGCGGACCAGUCCGUCUGUUACAUUUUUCUCUUUAUUAUUAGUUUGUGGGGUUUUUUCAUUAUAUUUUAUAUCAUUUUUAUUAUUUUUAUUGUCUUUUUUGAUGUGUUUUUGUAUUUUUAAUCUAAAGUGAGCUUGUGCUCGCUGUAUAAAACUAUCAAAACAUUAUUAUUAUUAUUAUUAUUAUUAUUAUUAUUAUUAUUAUUACUGUUGUGAGCAGUAAAAACUAAAAUACAAGAACUAAAUGAAUUUUAAAAUUCAGUUAAAAAACACAAUUAAUUAAAAAGUAAGUAAAUAAAAAUAAUUCAGUUUUUUGGUUGUCAGAUGUUUUUGAUUAGAUAUUUUUGAUUAGAUGUUUUUGUUGUCAGUGUCACGUAUCGAGGUUGAGGCAGAAGCAAGUGCAGAUAAUGCGUUUAUUUAAACAAACGUGCUAUAAGACAAAGACACUAAGACAACGUGGUAUAACACUGCGGCAUGACACAAAACACCGAGACAUAAACUACAAGAGUCUAGGACAACGAAAGACACGCAAACACUGCAGACAUGGACUAUACACACACACACACACACACACACACACACACACACACACACACACACACACACACACACACACACACACACACACACACACGAGUGCUCAUUAACAAAACGUGAGUCAGGUGCAGGUGGUCAUGUGACAGCUAGUGCAGUGCAGUGGCUGAUGGGACGUGGAGUCCAGAGUUUCUUGAUACAUGACAGUCAAAUGUUUUUGGUUGUCAGAUGUUCUUGAUUAGAUAUUUUUGAUUAGAUGUUUUGGUUAUCAGAUGUUUUUGAUGAGAUGUUUUUAUUAGAUGUUUUUUAUUAGAUGUUUUUGAUGAGAUGUUUUUGAUGAGAUGUUUUUGGUUGCCAGAUGUUCCCUGGAGAACCUGCUGUUCUUCUACCUCUGCAGACAAAAUCUGCAGGCCUCCAUGAUGUGUGUAUUUUAUUUAUUCGUCUAUUUAUUUAUUUAUUAAAUCAGAAAUGUGGUAUAACAAAAUACAAAACGUUGUCUGGGACACGGUGUGUUUCAUUUGUCUGGGGGUUUUACUGCAAUUUUGGGAAAUCCUUUUUUUUCCCCCCCUGUUAAGCUCAUCUAUACGUAUUUAAAUAGGUAUACAAAUUUAUAUUUAAAAAAUGUAUUAGAAAUUUGGACUAUUACUUAACAAAAUACAAACAUUUCAAUACAGAUAUAAAAUGAUUAACCUGAAUGUUCAUUGCUGAUGUUUGUUGUUCUUCAUCGUUAUUAAAUGAAGAUCAGACGGACGCUAGAAUUAAUUUGUUGGUAUUUGUUGUAUAUUGUCUUUUUCCAGUGGUCCUGUGGCGUAGUGUUGGGGUUCUCUCUUUAUUUAUUAUUGAGAAGGGGAUUUUUCCCAUUCUUUCAUUUAGACUUGACGAAUUCCCGCCCACCCGUGACCUC
Molecule: long non-coding RNA, 2804 nt
Organism: Ictalurus punctatus (channel catfish)
Lineage: Eukaryota; Metazoa; Chordata; Actinopteri; Siluriformes; Ictaluridae
Source: Ensembl